RNAcentral lists this ribosomal RNA (119 nucleotides) under Neogale vison (American mink). Lineage: Eukaryota; Metazoa; Chordata; Mammalia; Carnivora; Mustelidae. The record is from RNAcentral.
UGCUUGACUCAUUUCACUCAGCAUAAUCUCUUCCAGUCCCGUCUGAUCUCGGAAGCUAAGCAGGGUCGGGCCUGGUUAGUACUUGGAUGGGAGAAUUGUGGUUUAAUAAGGGAGAGCAU